UCCGCGAUAGCUUAAUGGUGGAGCAUUCGGCUGUUAACCGAAGGGGUUGAAGACCUAAAUGGUCUUCAACGGGUGGCAUGCCGAUGGUAAUCGGCGUUUUAUGACACCCCGGACGGAGUGUUCGAGUCCUCUUCGCGGAG
Molecule: transfer RNA, 140 nt
Filed under: Clostridium sp. N3C
Lineage: Bacteria; Bacillati; Bacillota; Clostridia; Eubacteriales; Clostridiaceae
Rfam family: tRNA
About the family: Transfer RNA (tRNA) molecules are approximately 80 nucleotides in length. Their secondary structure includes four short double-helical elements and three loops (D, anti-codon, and T loops).
Source: Rfam by way of RNAcentral